GUCGUGCACGCCCGGAGUGCUCUCUCACAUCCAUCUCACCCCUUUGUGCAUCAUCGCGUGGGGCCCUCYCCUUUGGCUUGUUCCGGAAGGGGGGGGGUUCACGUUUUUACACGAACAACCCAUUAAUGCAUGUGUAGAAUGUCUUACUUUUUGCGGUCACACGCAAUCAAUACAACUUUCAACAACGGAUCUCUUGGCUCUCGCAUCGAUGAAGAACGCAGCGAAAUGCGAUACGUAAUGUGAAUUGCAGAAUUCAGUGAAUCAUCGAAUCUUUGAACGCACCUUGCGCCCCUUGGUAUUCCGAGGGGUGCACCCGUUUGAGUGUCGUGAACACCCUCAACCUUCUUGGUUUAUCGACCGGGAAGGCUUGGACUUUGGAGGUUUUUGUUGCUGGCCUCGUUUGAAGCCAGCUCCUCCUAAACGAAUUAGUGGGGUCCGCCGUGCCGACCCUCGACGUGAUAAGUACGCUUCUACGUCUUGGGGUUUCGCACUGUCGCCUGCUUCCAACCGUCUUCGAAUGAAGACAAUCUUAUAGACCUUGACCUCAAAUCGGGUGAG
Molecule: ribosomal RNA, 558 nt
Filed under: Russula aeruginea
Lineage: Eukaryota; Fungi; Basidiomycota; Agaricomycetes; Russulales; Russulaceae
Description: eukaryotic LSU rRNA
Rfam family: 5.8S ribosomal RNA (bases 174-327)
Source: RNAcentral